UACGGAGGAUCCAAGCGUUAUCCGGAUUUAUUGGGUUUAAAGGGUGCGUAGGCGGUUUAUUAAGUCAGGGGUGAAAGACGGCAGCUUAACUGUCGCAGUGCCUUUGAUACUGAUGAACUUGAAUGUACUAGAAGUAGGCGGAAUGUGACAAGUAGCGGUGAAAUGCAUAGAUAUGUCACAGAACACCGAUUGCGAAGGCAGCUUACUAUGGUAUUAUUGACACUGAGGCACGAAAGCGUGGGGAUCAAACAGG
This 253-nucleotide ribosomal RNA is filed under the name uncultured bacterium. Its description in RNAcentral is "partial 16S ribosomal RNA". It matches the Rfam family "Bacterial small subunit ribosomal RNA", at positions 524 to 776 of the family's 1533-position model. The record is from RNAcentral.